Molecule: long non-coding RNA, 2857 nt
Filed under: Sus scrofa (pig)
Lineage: Eukaryota; Metazoa; Chordata; Mammalia; Artiodactyla; Suidae
Description: lncRNA (ENSSSCG00035071197.1)
Source: RNAcentral
UUUUUUUUUUUUUUUUCCAUCUUAAGCACAAGACAUCUUCCUGGCAGGCAAAGCACCAGCCUAGUGUCUGUCACAGAGCAGGCCCUCAACAAGUUCCGUCGGGUCUGCGUCCUCCUGCCUCCCUCUGCAGGAUCCUACACCCCGCUGCCUCACUUUUUCCUCGGUCAGCACCCAGGACGGGGAGCCAGGGGUGGCUGGGGCUACCCGCCCCAUUCUGGAUGCCCAGAUUCAAGGAGGCAAUAACUGUUCGCAGGAUUCUCCGUGUCUCCUCCUCAUAACAGGACCUCCCAGCCCCCCGGCGCCCCCCCGCCAACGUUUCCAUCGCCCAUGUCUCUGGUGCCCUUCUAAGUGUUUCUCCAAGUCACUCCUUGGCUUCACCCUCCAGGGGUCCAGGAGCCACGGGAUGGAGACCCUGGCACUUCCCCCUGGACUCGGCUCCUUCCACGGGCCCAGCCCAUCUGUUUCCCACCUCCCUGCCUUUGCCAUAGUGCUGACCCUGCUCCUAGAGGCUGCUCCACGCUGCUUCCCUCGGGCUGCCUGGUGAACAACUGCCCGCCGUCCAAGAUUCAGCUCCGAUGGGCAUCCUCCUCUAGCCACCCCACAUCCUCUGGAGCCCGCGCCCACUCCCUCCUCUGCUCCCCCAGAGCAUCUUACACGCGUUUGUCUCAGUAGCACAGUGUCGUGAUGAGGAAACACAGAGUGGGCAGGGACAGGCCCGGGGAAGGCACAGAGGCGGAGCCAGCAGGGCCUCUCAGGCCCGACUCGGUCUCCGGGGAAGGGGCUCCAGGGCAUUUCGGUGGGGGAGGGGGUUCCCAGCUCAACGCUUUCCCCGCUUUCCCAAGAAGAGUCGACCCGACAGGACCUGCAAGACGGUGACGUGCUCACCACCCCCGGCCCCCUCCCCCACCCCCAAGGAAGACAGGAUGAAUCGUCCCCAGGUCGCCUGGUCACUGAGCCCAGGGGGAGGGGAAGGGCGCUCAGAAACGGCAGGUUUGGUCUCUCUGGGCGCCAGACUUCCCGCCGGGGCAGGGAGACCGAGGCAGGGUGGGGUUGGGGGAAGGCACUCGGUGAUGGGCCAGACGUGCAGUCUCUCUCCACCCAACUGGGUGGCCGUGUCCCUUUGCAAAGAUGGAGCGGCAGGUGUGUGUGGGGGGGGUCUCCAGGGUCUCAAGGUCUCACGUCCAACAAGUUGGGAGCCCUAACGCACGUCCAGGCCCGCUGCCUCUGACACUGGCGGAGGAUGGAGACACUGGAGAGGCCGAAUCUCGGGGGUGUGGGGGGUGGAAAGGGCUCAGGCCGCAGGUGAACGGUGCUUGGGGGGCUCGAGAGCCGGCGGACCGGUCCUGUGAGGGGAGCCCGGGGACCAAAAGGAUUUCACCAUGGUCCCGGUGCUCAGCCGGGGUCUUGAAUGGUGCAUGCGUGGGAAUGGGUCCGGAGGUCAAGGGGGCCGAGAGCAGAGGCAAAGGCCCGGAGGCAUCCGGGAGUGGGGGCUGCAGCCGAGGGCACGACUGUGGAGGAGACCCUCGGCGCUCCCUGCCGUCUUCCCUGACCACGGACCCCAGAAGCGAAGCCGUUUCCAGAUAACCAGAGUCAUAACCCCGGUAAGAACAUCGAGCGCUUGCAGCACAUGCUAGACUUCCGCCGCAGCACCUUCUAACACCAUCCAGCUUAAUCUGCGGGGCAACCUGGAGAUGAGUAUGCGGCUCAUCCCUUCUCCAAAGACAGAAACUGGGCCCAAAGAGGCUACGUAACACGGCCAGGGCACACACCUCUGUGCGUGGUGGGUCUGGAUCCGAAUCAGCUGCCAAGCCCCAGCAGGCAGCUCUGCGGGCCGACCACUGAGCCGCACUGCCUCUCCAGGCUGGACGCCGCCUUCCCUCCCCUGACGGCUCCGUCUCUGCUGCUUUCACCCGCCAGAGCGCAGGCACCUCUGGAGCAGGUGCCGCGUCUCAUUCUCCUCCUGGGGGGUCCCUCCACCCGCCCCCGCUACCGGCUCCCGCCACUCGGGGCCUUUGUAAAGGAGCUUGAGCGGCGCGUCAAGACCAGAAGAUUCCAGCAGGAGAAAGCCCUGGUCGCUGUCCACUUCCGGCUGGGAACCAAGAGUCUGUUGACUUAAUCAGGCAGAUGCAGAACAGGGUUGUCCUGGUGGCAAGGUUUCUAUUCCAGGAGGCCAGGCCGCAAUUAAAUGUCCCAACCUGCACACCUCCAAUGACUGCACGAGAGCUGGUUUCCCGGGCCUGAUAAGUAGCGAUGACAGACCCUUCGGCUGAAAUCCCGAAAUCACUCAGUAAAGGUCACCUUCUUCCUUCUUUUUCGGGCGGGAGGAGGGUGGGAUGAAAUUAGUGCCCAAAGUACAAGUGACACCCUCAUUUAAAACAGGUGCAUCCAAACAGCCAGUCCCCAGCAAAUGGCGUGGUCCUCCAGGCUUGUGAGCUGUUGUCACAGGGACUCUGCUGUGUGUGGAGCACCUGCUCCGGGCCAGGCACCGACCCAGGCUCUUAAACUGCGUUCACGAGUUAACACGUAUACCGAUGAGAUGACAAUGACACGAUGCUUUUACCCCUUUUAUAGAAGAAUAAACUGAGCUCCAGGGACGUUCAGUCAUCUUCUUAGCAUGACACAGUGCACGUGGAACAUUCAGGAUUUACAGCCAAGUCUGUGUGCCUCCGAAUAGCAGGUUCUUUCCAUUAAACAAGGUGGUCUCAAGGUAACAAACUUAGUUUGGGAUUCAGGACAAGGCUGGUUCUGUGCUUUACAGGGAGUCCUGAGACGCCCCUAAAUAUCCCCUUCUCCUGGCCUAUCUCUGGACAUCUCUGAAGGCGCAGUUGAGACAUGGGUCUCUUCCAGCCUCUGGAAU